GAUGAACGCUAGCUACAGGCUUAACACAUGCAAGUCGAGGGGAAACGAUAUUGGAAGCUUGCUUCCGAUAGGCGUCGACCGGCGCACGGGUGAGUAACGCGUAUCCAACCUGCCCAUCACUUGGGGAUAACCUUGCGAAAGUAAGACUAAUACCCAAUGACGUCUCUAGAAGACAUCUGAAAGAGAUUAAAGAUUUAUCGGUGAUGGAUGGGGAUGCGUCUGAUUAGCUUGUUGGCGGGGUAACGGCCCACCAAGGCGACGAUCAGUAGGGGUUCUGAGAGGAAGGUCCCCCACAUUGGAACUGAGACACGGUCCAAACUCCUACGGGAGGCAGCAGUGAGGAAUAUUGGUCAAUGGACGAGAGUCUGAACCAGCCAAGUAGCGUGCAGGAAGACGGCCCCUAUGGGUUGUAAACUGCUUUUAUAAGGGAAUAAAGUGAGUCUCGUGAGACUUUUUGCAUGUACCUUAUGAAUAAGGACCGG
Molecule: ribosomal RNA, 482 nt
Filed under: uncultured bacterium
Lineage: Bacteria
Description: bacterial SSU rRNA
Rfam family: Bacterial small subunit ribosomal RNA
Source: RNAcentral